UCACGUCCUACGACAAUAGUUUUUACAUCACGGCAUUUGUCUAGGAUUAAGACGAGAGGUUUGAUCUACUUCAUACCAAUAGCAGAUUGUAUACUUUCUCGCUGACAGCAUCGGGCCAUUCUUCUCGACAUUUGUGCCUACCUGUAAUUACAAAAGCCAUAUAAGAUUUCAACGGAUUCAUCUCUGGUGUUACAAUUAUUUAACACAGAAGAAACUCAGGUACAACAUCUCGUACAUAUUUAGCCUUAGUUACGCAUGAUGUAUGCGUAGAUCUGAAUGUUAUGAAUGUUCUAAAAAUUAUUCCGUACCAAGUAACAGGCUAUUAUUUAUGGUUCCUAGGCCAAUAUUUUGUUAUCUUCCGUUACCACGCCGUAAGCAGCCAAGUAAGGAUAAAUGAUUAAUGCUAGGAUCCACGACAACAUACAAUAUAACUUAGCCUUGAUCUUAAUGGUCCAUACCUCAUGGUAAAUGAAUUCAAACCGUUUUACUUACACGUAGGUUUUAGCAUUGCAUUUAAUUGAUUAAUUCGAUGCAAGAUUAUAUAACGUCUCGAGUCUCAAGGUUAGUACAAUUUAUAUGAAACUGAGUGCUAUGAACUUGCGAACAGAAAUGGGAUAAUUAAUGUAUUCAGUAUUUAUUCAGUAUCGCUAAAGAGAACGUUAAAGCUUCGCCAGUGAGGUCUCUGGCGACCAAGUUAAUGAAGCUUGUCUUCAUCUUUUAUGCAACAGUACAUCAUUGCCACACGUGACUCAUUCGCUGAAUGGUUGAUUGGAUCACUUCUUGAUGAGAUCCCCACAGUUAAUUUUAUACGUAGGGACGAAUACGAAUAGGUUAUACCCCACGUAUAACCUUCAUAUUCAUUCACUCAGUUGGAAUUCAGUGUUAAGUUAACACUGACUUUUCUGGUUAACACUGUUAACUGUAACUGAAAAGCCUUUUAAAAAGAAGAUAAUAAGACCAACAUAUUUUGGUUUGUGUGUUUGAAAUUGUCGAAUCUCAUCUCUGCUUACCAGACAAACUUUCUUACAUUCUUCUUGCUGUCAAAUUUAUUAUUACUCAAGGGUCUAAGAAAUCAGCUCAAAUAAUAUUACGUUAUUGUUCCAGAUAGAUUAUAAUUUAUAAUUAAUUAUUAAUGAAUUAAUUGCCAUUAUCAAAUUAAUUCUUACUAAAUAAUAAAAAUCUCAAUGUCACAACGAUGUCUGCAGUUUUUAAUUCUUUCUCGUCUUUUAAACCGCCAAGUGUGGUCCGGGAGAUGAAGUAAACCGACGUAUAUCUCUGACAUCUUUGUGACUUUUAUAGUGCAAAUACUUUAUAACUUCCCAUACUAGACUACUGUGCCAUCGUUAAUUAUAGACAGCUAUUGCACCAAUUUCGUGUUAUUCCCGGAACUGUGAAACAGAAAUGAAGGCAAAGCCAGAAUUCUCGGGAGAAAGGAAUGAAGCACGUCCGACAUCGAGUCUCCGUUCCACGUUUUCGUCCGAAAAUUCAUUUCUGCAAGCCAUCGAGUUAACUUAAGCACAGACUACUGUAAGACAGACUGCAAAUAGACUAGACAACUUUGGUUCGGAAAAGGCUUUCGCCCCACUACGUUUCAUUCGUAGUAUUACUCUUGAAUUGUCGGAAAGCCUCAGGAUACAUACAACAGGGUUCUAGUUUGGAAAAUCAAUCUCCUUUUUAUUCUCUUCCAUCUCUGCGUCUCUUAGGUGUUAUCACUUGUCUAUCAAAAGAGUUUGAUAGAUCUGUACACUAUCACAGUGAGGAACGGGCGAUAAUUAGAAAGCAACGUUGGGUACUGCUCAAAUGUAAUUGGAUGACAGAUUGUGCAUGUGAUAACCGACUUUCUUUUUCUGAUCUGGCGUUUUCAGUCGGGAGUUGACUGAAUGCUGCUGUGCCAACUGAUUACGGAUGGUAAUGAAUUAACUUUUUUUCCCCGCCUGGUUCCUUUCAUUCAUCUUUUCAGUGCUAUUUCUGGUGCAAAGUUGAGAAGCCAACGAAAGUACCAAUCUGUUCCAACAAAAGAAAUGUGUUCAAACGCCAUAUUAUAUCGAAAUUGGAUGGAUAUUCUCUGUGAAAUCGUGAAAAGGAGGAAGAUCUUGAAACGACAGUUGCGUGAGCGUUGCUGGGAUUGAAUUAGAUUUCGUCGUCACCAAAGAUUCUUCGUUUUUCAAAUGGGAUGGUUUAAAACG
Molecule: long non-coding RNA, 2186 nt
Organism: Daphnia pulicaria
Lineage: Eukaryota; Metazoa; Arthropoda; Branchiopoda; Diplostraca; Daphniidae
Exons: 3
Source: RefSeq, a predicted model, not a curated record